This 309-nucleotide long non-coding RNA is filed under the name Homo sapiens (human). RNAcentral's name for it is "HSALNT0096242". The record is from RNAcentral. Lineage: Eukaryota; Metazoa; Chordata; Mammalia; Primates; Hominidae.
UCCCAUGGUCUUUAUGGCCAUUGCACAGCACUAACGUGCUGCCUCCAACAAACACCCAUUGAAAUUGCAUUUACAAUAGUGGCUUACAUUCUUGCCAGGAUUGGUCAAAGCCAAUGUACAGAAUAGGAGUUUGGACAGACGGGGGAAAAUCUGUGGGCAGACCCAACCUUGUGAUAGGAGAAAAAUAGGCUGACAGGACAUCAUGGCUCAUUGUCUGCCAUUUGCCAUUCUGUAAAGCAGAGCCCACAGCCUACCAUUCCAGGGUGUGCCUCAGACAUGAUAGUGAAGGAAGAAAGCACAGGACCUGCA